Molecule: ribosomal RNA, 423 nt
Filed under: uncultured bacterium
Lineage: Bacteria
Description: bacterial SSU rRNA
Rfam family: Bacterial small subunit ribosomal RNA
Source: RNAcentral
UGAGGAAUAUUGGUCAAUGGGCGCAAGCCUGAACCAGCCACGUCGCGUGAAGGAAGACGGCCCUACGGGUUGUAAACUUCUUUUGUAAGGGAAUAAAGUGUAGUACGUGUACUAUUUUGCAUGUACCUUACGAAUAAGGAUCGGCUAACUCCGUGCCAGCAGCCGCGGUAAUACGGAGGAUCCGAGCGUUAUCCGGAUUUAUUGGGUUUAAAGGGUGCGCAGGCGGGAGAUUAAGUCGGCGGUGAAAUUUUGCAGCCCAACUGUAAAAGUGCCUUCGAAACUGGUUUCCUUGAGUGUAGAUGAAGUAGGCGGAAGUUGUGGUGUAGCGGUGAAAUGCAUAGAUAUCACGAGGAACUCCGAUUGCGCAGGCAGCUUACUAAACUACUACUGACGCUCAGGCACGAAGGCGUGGGGAUCAAACAG